RNA transcript from Bactrocera oleae (olive fruit fly), 3431 nucleotides. It is a transcript of the gene named Hormone receptor-like in 38, with no coding region annotated. The record is from RefSeq and is a predicted model, not a curated record. Lineage: Eukaryota; Metazoa; Arthropoda; Insecta; Diptera; Tephritidae.
GAAGAUGUCGAUAAGGUAACACUGGUUAUUUGACAUUUUGCAACCCUUUUGUUAUUGUCAGAAUUAAUAGAAUUUAACAAUAAUUUUAAUAUUGAAUUAAACUAUUUUUCCAUUAUAUAAUGUAAAAUAAAUUUGUACAAACGAAUUAGUGAAGUGUUAGUGGAUAUAAAAGUGAAAUAUAUAAGUGUAUAAUUCAUUUGAAAUCGAAAAUUUGCGGACUUGAAAUAGUUGAAAUUUUCCCCCGGCUAUACCUAUGUAUAUAUAUUCUUGAUAUGGAGGAUCUCCUCUAUCCGCUCAUACCUAUUUUAUCCCCGAAAGCCUUUGACGGUAUACUAAAGUUUUCCCGAGUUCAGGAUUACUCCAUCCGCCGUUCAUUUAUAUAUAUUGCAACUAAAAACCAGAAUACACCAGACAGAUUGCAUAAAUAAAAUCACUUGUCACAAUGAAACGGUAACAGAAAGAAAAAGCAUCGAUAUAACACAAAUGUGCUGUCUGGAUUCGCCUGCCCUAUCCAACUGCAGCACAACUAAUGAGCCUCCGAUUACAGUAAAUAGUACGUAGUUAGUUGUCUUCAAAGACUUCUUAAACCUGAGACACCACAUGUUCUUGCAAUUAACCUAACACAACAUUCAAAGAUACAGAAAGAGCCUGACCUCCAUCAUGUGAACAGAAUUUAUAAGCGUGAUUUUAUGAUAUUUUGUGUUAUUUAUCCUAAUUGACAAAUCCGUAGAUUAAGAACUGUUUACGAUUAUUUGUGUUCACCAACACAGUUACAUUUUGUAUCAAAAACAGAUAAACAUUUAUUUAAACAUACACAAUAUGUAAUUUGUCAAAAGGCAUCAUUGAAAACUUCUCGCUUACUUUGCGCAUGCACCGAAUUGAGACGUCAUAUGAUUUUUUUAUUAUGUGCAAUAAAUGUACGUAACCGUUGACGCAUAUAUUUAUGACGUAAUACUUGAUAUAAACAUAAUUGUGUAAAUACCUUUUGUGGGUAGUAAAAACAGAAUUAUUAUUCAUCAUAUAUUUCAAGAGGAUGAACUUCUUAAAACUACUAGUCUAGUAAGCUCGAUUUGAACUUCGUUCGAAAAUUUAUUCACAAAACUGCAAUCACUAGGAAGUACGAUGCGUCUCUUUUCAAAUAUUUAUUAUGGUGUUUAGUUUGCACAUGGGUACAAACAUACUUGCAUGUAUUUUUCCAUGUAAGUAUAUAUCUUGAAAACGCUGUAUUUCAGGUUUAAAUGUAAUCGAUGAGCUGGAUGACGUGUUCAUCAAACUUCUUCAUUAGUAAUUGAGGGUGCAUCAAAGACGUCAUGAGUUUUGCAACGCUUAUAGUUUAUAUAUGUACAUAGAUAAAGUGCAGUGUAAAACUAACAGUCAAUACGGUCAAGUUGAGCUGUGUCAAAUAAAAUAAGUGAAAUUUAAAAAGUGGUGGCUCCGUUCAAUGGCUCUCCGUAUGCUCUUUUCAAAGUCAAAGGCACCUUGUGACUGGAAAACUACUAAAAAAUUAAAAUUAAUUAAAAACAGUUGUCUUAAGCUCUUACACUCAUCUUAUUUACCUCGUAAAUUGGUUUCAAUGAGCCUUAGUUCGCCUAGGGCAUGUUUUUCGCCUCUUCCAUCCCAAUUAAAGGACUCGAGGAGGCAGCCUGUAAAAAUAUUUCUAAAAACGUUUUCGAUGUCAUCGGAUGCACCCUUCAGUUUGUAGAUAUACGUGAAUGUGCGGGUUGUUGCGAAAAAUCGUGAAAGAGAUGAUGCAAGAGAGGAAUGAGGAGAAACUUGUCGCCAUGAGGGAUGCAGAAAUACUUAUGAUCUAUAUCUUCUUUUGAUAUUUCACUAACAUCAUUACUUAAAUUACUAGCCAAAACAAUUCCCAGACUGUUGGCAGACUCAAAAGGUGUCUCAAAAUAGUUCUCUAUUUUCUUAAAAGCUUUACAUAUAUAUUUUUUCGCUUUGUUUGAUGUGUUAGUGCUUAUAGCUUUCAUGGGUCCAUAUUUUUUACUAAAACAAAAAGAAUCCUUUUCUUUAAUGGGAUUAAUUUCAAAUGUUCCUAUUUUCGAUGCCUUAUUGAAAUCGUCGCAAAAUGUAUGUCUUUCAUUGAGACGUAAGAAUAUUUGUUGCAAUAUUUUGUUUAUUAACAAUUUUUUUAAGAAACUGCAUAUAAUUUUCAAACUUAUAUGCUGAAAAGGUAUCUAAUGGACCAAACUGUUUAAGACAUUCCGACAAAUGGAGCAGACCAUGUAUAUUAAAGCUAACCAACUCAUCUCCAUAUAUGCUCCCAAAAUAAUUUACAAAAUCAUUUAAAACUUCUUGAGCUGUAUCUGCCUCAACUCUAUAGGACCUUUCACAUGAAAGAAGUCUUAUGGCACUAUGUAACAGCAAAAAAUGAUAGUAUAAAUCGCUAUUAAUACAAUCUUUUAAAAGAUACAUUCCAGUGUAUAAUAAAAAUUGCCUAAACUCAGUAGAUUUCCAAUGAUUUAUUUAUAAUAUAAUUAAUUUUUUUAUUAAUCUUUUUUACAUCACUUUUUUUAACUAGUAACUUUAGUAGUUUUUAGUGACUCCCAGAUCCACUAAUUUCAUAGAGUCUAAAGUAAAUUGUGAAACCAUUCCGAACCCGGACUCCUCCAUAAUGCUUUUUUUUGUUUUAAAAUCAUCGAGAUGAUGAGAUGGACUAGUUCUUAGCGCGUAGGUUAAAUCUGUCCUAGGUAAACCAACCUGCUUUGAGAAACAUACUCUUCUGUAUCUGUAUGUUCCUUCCUGACAACAUUUAGGGCAACCAUAUUUACCAUUAUGUGAAAUAACAUUUGUGACAAAAGCCCUAGCAGGAGUAUCACAUGAAAAUAAACGAACAUUAAAUUUUUUUAAACUUUGGUUUUGACCAACUUCAAUUCCGUUUUCCUUUAAAAGCCUUACUUCCGCACAAAAAUUUGCCGUAAAAGAAUUGAUAUUAUCCGGUUUUUUAAAACCAGAAAAACAAGCAAUCAAAAAUGGUGUCCCAUUUGGUAAGUUUGAAAUAGCCCAAGUAUGGGCCACAAAACUCGGUUAGAACUUUUAAAGAGUUUUAAGCCAUCAAUACCUAUAUCAAGCAAUAUUUCUUCCAAAUUUUAAAAAAGGUUUGCGGUGUUAUAAAGAAAAUAUUUUUGUAUACCUAUAUAAAGGAACUCGCCAUUAGACAUAGUCUCAACGUUAACCGUUUACCUGUUUGUAUUUAAAAGAGUUUUUGCUGAAAGUGGCAAAUCUUUAACUCCUAUCUUACGCAAAGUUUUUAAUAAAUCCUCUGAGGGACAUUAUUUCUAAUAGCCCAUAACCUAAUUUCACUCGCUUUCGUCUCAGAUUCUAAUUUGUUAUCUGAACACCAAAUAUCUCGUAAGGAUGAUGAAGCUGAAAUCCCAACUGCUUCUUUUGUUGGUGAGAAGGCCGAAGUAAAAGCAUCAUCC